This 484-nucleotide ribosomal RNA is filed under the name uncultured bacterium. RNAcentral's name for it is "partial 16S ribosomal RNA". It matches the Rfam family "Bacterial small subunit ribosomal RNA", at positions 30 to 507 of the family's 1533-position model. The record is from RNAcentral.
AUUGAACGCUGGCGGCAGGCCUAACACAUGCCAGUCGAGCGGAGGAAGGGAGCUUGCUCCUGGAUUCAGCGGCGGACGGGUGAGUAAUGCCUAGGAAUCUGCCUGGUAGUGGGGGAUAACGUCCGGAAACGGGCGCUAAUACCGCAUACGUCCUGAGGGAGAAAGUGGGGGAUCUUCGGACCUCACGCUAUCAGAGGAGCCUAGGUCGGAUUAGCUAGUUGGUGGGGUAAAGGCCUACCAAGGCGACGAUCCGUAACUGGUCUGAGAGGAUGAUCAGUCACACUGGAACUGAGACACGGUCCAGACUCCUACGGGAGGCAGCAGUGGGGAAUAUUGGACAAUGGGCGAAAGCCUGAUCCAGCCAUGCCGCGUGUGUGAAGAAGGUCUUCGGAUUGUAAAGCACUUUAAGUUGGGAGGAAGGGCAGUAAGUUAAUACCUUGCUGUUUUGACGUUACCAACAGAAUAAGCACCGGCUAACUUCGUG